GCUGGUGUGGCUCAGCAGGUAGAGCGGUUCACUCGUAAUGAACAGGUCGGCGGUUCGAAUCCGCCCACCAGCUCCA
This 76-nucleotide transfer RNA is filed under the name Clostridium sp. RNAcentral's name for it is "tRNA-Thr". It matches the Rfam family "tRNA". Rfam says of the family: Transfer RNA (tRNA) molecules are approximately 80 nucleotides in length. Their secondary structure includes four short double-helical elements and three loops (D, anti-codon, and T loops). Further hydrogen bonds mediate the characteristic L-shaped molecular structure. tRNAs have two regions of fundamental functional importance: the anti-codon, which is responsible for specific mRNA codon recognition, and the 3' end, to which the tRNAs corresponding amino acid is attached (by aminoacyl-tRNA synthetases). tRNAs cope with the degeneracy of the genetic code in two manners: having more than one tRNA (with a specific anti-codon) for a particular amino acid; and 'wobble' base-pairing, i.e. permitting non-standard base-pairing at the 3rd anti-codon position. Lineage: Bacteria; Bacillati; Bacillota; Clostridia; Eubacteriales; Clostridiaceae. The record is from RNAcentral. RNAcentral also lists the same sequence under 6 other names.